RNAcentral lists this ribosomal RNA (460 nucleotides) under uncultured bacterium. Its description in RNAcentral is "partial 16S ribosomal RNA". It matches the Rfam family "Bacterial small subunit ribosomal RNA", at positions 338 to 795 of the family's 1533-position model. The record is from RNAcentral.
CCUACGGGCGGCAGCAGUGAGGAAUAUUGGUCAAUGGGCGCGAGCCUGAACCAGCCAAGCAGCGUGAAGGAUGACUGCCCUAUGGGUUGUAAACUUCUUUUAUAAGGGAAUAAAGUGAGGCACGUGUGCCUUUUUGUAUGUACUUUACGAAUAAGGAUCGGCUAACUCCGUGCCAGCAGCCGCGGUAAUACGGAGGAUCCGAGCGUUAUCCGGAUUUAUUGGGUUUAAAGGGAGCGUAGAGGGGUUGUUAAGUUAGUUGUGAAAGUCUGGGGCUCAACCGUAAAAUUGCAAUUGAUACUGGCAGCCUUGAGUACAGUUGAGGUAGGCGGAAUUCGUGGUGUAGCGGUGAAAUGCUUAGAGAUCACGAAGAACUCCGAUUGCGAAGGCAGCUUACUAAGCUGCCACUGACGUUGAGGCUCGAAAGUGUGGGUAUCAAACAGGAUUAGAUACCCGUGUAGUC